RNAcentral lists this ribosomal RNA (300 nucleotides) under uncultured Halogeometricum sp. RNAcentral's name for it is "bacterial SSU rRNA". It matches the Rfam family "Bacterial small subunit ribosomal RNA", at positions 496 to 795 of the family's 1533-position model. Lineage: Archaea; Methanobacteriati; Methanobacteriota; Halobacteria; Halobacteriales; Haloferacaceae. The record is from RNAcentral.
GCUAAUUCCGGGCAAGCAGCGGCGGUAAUACGGAAGGUCCGGGCGUUUUCCGGAGUUAUUGGGGUGAAAGGGAGCGUAGGCCGGAGAUUAAGCGUGGUGUGAAAUGUAGACGCGCAACGUCUGCACUGCAGCGCGAACUGGUUGCCUUGAGUACGCACAAAGUGGGCGGAAUUCGUGGUGUAGCGGUGAAAUGCUUAGAUAUCACGAAGAACUCCGAUUGCGAAGGCAGCUCACUGGAGCGCAACUGACGCUGAAGCUCGAAAGUGCGGGUAUCGAACAGGAUUAGAUUCCCCUGUAGUC